GGAAAUUCUUUUCACGUCUCAGGUUUGUCUGACCUGAGAAUGAAGGUUGCUGCUCCAGCCACCUGGAGGAGUAGAAUGGUUCCAGAAGAAGAAGAAAGAGAACUUCCCCCACUCCUGCCAUCUGCUUAAGCUCGGAUUGUUCGCCGGAGGAACAUGCACGCUACUGUUAACAUUUUCUGUAUACACAGUAGUGCUUGAUGUUUGAAGAAUGAACGAAGGAGCGAAACCAAUCAUUGACCCCCCCCCCCCAGUCCCCUUAAUUUCUGAGGUUUGUUUAUGUAACUGGCUUCCCGCCUCAGCAGGUCCCAACUGAGAGCAAAGAAAGCGGACUGUUCCUGACGAGAAAUGGUGAGGGGAGGGAGGUCUGAAACAGGGAUCUUUAACCUGGAACUCCCUUCGAUACUCCUGCCUCAGCCUUGAGUACUGGGCUUACAGGUGUGGGCCACCAUGCCUGGUUUUAACUUGGCCUUUUAGACUUGUCUCUGUGAAGAAUCUAGGGUUGUUGAUUCAGGCCUAUUUUUCCACUGCUACCUCUAAGGUCAGGUUUGAAUAAAGACCCAUUAUAGUAUUUAUAUUUUAGCUCUUAAGCAAAUUCCUUAAACGCUAUUCCUGUAUAUGAUGGGAAUAAUAGCAUCUAACUAAGAGCUGUGGAACAGAUUGAGAUAAUUUACAUAAAGCAUUUAGUGUAAGAGUUCAUGGUAAGAACUCAGUAAAUCUUAUUUACUAUUUUGUACAACAGAGAUAAUAAACUCCAUGGUACAGUGGUGGCAGUUGCUCUGAAGGUUAAAUGUAACUCGUUCAGUAUUGUUUAUUCAUUCAAAUCACCAUCGGUCAUCUUAUGUGUAACCCCCUUGCUAGAUACGUGACCUGGUCCUCAGUGGGCCACCAAUAAUGAUCACUAUUAGUUAAAAUUAACUUGGGCUGAUGUGGUGGCACACACCUGUAGUCUGAGCACUUCAGGAGACUGAGGCAGGAAGACCGCACAUUCAAACCCAACCUGGGUGACUAAAUGACAGUGAGAUCCUGUCUACCUGUUUAGGAAUAAAAAAUUAGGUCUGUGUGUGGAGAUGCAUGCCUGUAAUCUCAGCUCUGGAAGACUGAGGCAGGAGGAUGAAAGUUUUAACCAGCCUGGGAAAUUUAGUGACUUAGUGAGAACUUGUCUCAAAAAUAAAAAAGGUCUGGGCCUCGGAUGUAGCUCAGUGCCUACCUAGCAAGGGCAAGGUCCUGCGUUCAAUCCCUGGUGCCACAAAAAAAUUUUUUUCAAUAAAGGACAGAACAUGUAGCAGUGCAGACUCUGGGUUCAAUCCCAACUACCAUAAUAAAUAAACAAAAAUGUUCGUAAAAGGACUGGGGAUGUAGCUCAAUGUGAAGGCCCUAUGCUUAGUCUCCAUUACCUAAAUAAAUAAGUAAAUAAAUAUAAAAUAAUAAAGUUGGUCAUUUGCAAAGCCAUCUUUCACUUUUGAAGAUGUGCUUCUCUUUGUUUUAGUCAGUGCAUUGGGAAAUCAUUAAUACCAGUUUUGGGAGAAGAUAUGAAAAGUAUCUUCAUGUCAUGUGCCAGUCUGUGUACUGGCCACUUUUGUAUGCAUUGCUUACCAGCAGGAACAAGACGUGAUCAAUAGCCCAAAGGAAUGCUUUUUAGAUUGUUCUAAAUCCCACCACCAAGACAAGUCACCAAAACAUUCACACUACCUUUGGUGGUCCCCAUGCCAUGGCAUUUUAGGACACUUUUGUACCCUCCACCUUUUAUUUUGGCCAUGCUGGGGAUUAGACCCAGGAACUUCACACUGACCUGCAUCUCCAAACCCUUUUUAUUUUUUAUUUUGAGAUAAGGUGCUGGUCUGGGCUUGAACUUUGCAUUCUCCUGGCUCAGCCUCCCAGAGGGCACUUUUAUGCCCUUUUUAACAGUGCAUUUAUUGCUUUUUUUUCUCUUACCACGUUGUUGACAAUCUUACCAGCUGUUUUAGAAAUUGUCCUGCUCUGGGCGGAGCUCUGAGUCUUCAGCUGUGAAACAGUGUGAUCCUACAGUGACACUCAGAUCCUUGGAGUCUUCUAGUCUGCCCUAGAGGUCGCCCUGAACUCAAGUGGCUUUGCCCCUCCCCUCUCCUGGUGCCUGGACUUUCCAAGGGACACAAUUUCCAGUGAACUUGAAACUACAGUCUGAAAAAAAUCAUAUGCAAAAAAUGAGGCUCCUUGCUGCUGCAGGAUUCAGAAAGAACCGUGCAUCUUGGAAGACAUUUCAGGAACCUCCAGGAAAACCCAGAGACAACAGAGAGACAGAAACAAGGACAGCAGAGGUUUGUGACAGUUAAGCUGGACUAUUGACUUUUUUCACUUGAGAGCUGCCAGAAGCUGCCAUGAAUUAAGCAGCUGUGCUCCAUCACGUCCCUUCACCAAAAUGUUUUUGCCUGAAAGUCAACCAGUCAUAGGUCAAACCCACUGAAACUCCAGCCAUGAAGGUUUUCAAAGCUAAGUGUAGGUUAAUUUGUUUAUUUUUCUUUAUAAUUUUUGUAUUAUGUUACAGUAUUGUAAUCAUUUUUAUAUGGAUAUUUUUGGGUUGUGGAACAUUUCAUCAUUAUUUCUUAUGGGAAAAUUUGCAGUGAUAGACAAGUGCUUUGGAUUACAAGCAUUCUUCUGGAAUAAAUUAUGCCCACAAACCAAAGUUUUAGUGUACUUUGAACUGGGAAAAAAGAAAGAGCCAUCUCAAGGCAUCUCAGGAGUGAGCAAGACACCACCCAUUGCAAGCUGGCAUGUACAAAAGUAUAAUCCUUUCAUCUGAGAAGAAAUGAGUCUUUUGCUUGAGAAGGAUCAUCUAGAGGAUCUGCUCCUUAGGACUCAUUUCACCAUGCACAGCCAUGUAGGCACUCAGAAGCCACUGAAACCAUGGUGCAAGGGGUCUUGGCUACUGCUCAAGCUGGUGCUAGAUCUUGGUAUCAUCCACGUGAUGCUGGUUUUCCUGGCAUUCAGAAUGUAAGAGUUAG
RNAcentral lists this long non-coding RNA (2978 nucleotides) under Heterocephalus glaber (naked mole-rat). Its description in RNAcentral is "lncRNA (ENSHGLG00000045994.1)". The record is from RNAcentral. Lineage: Eukaryota; Metazoa; Chordata; Mammalia; Rodentia; Bathyergidae.